Bombyx mori (domestic silkworm) is the source of this 599-nucleotide long non-coding RNA. RefSeq lists it as uncharacterized. NCBI's taxonomy places the organism in Eukaryota, Metazoa, Arthropoda, Insecta, Lepidoptera, Bombycidae. The record is from RefSeq and is a predicted model, not a curated record. The transcript is spliced from 2 exons.
GAUAGUGAGGCCGAUAUCAUAUGGUUAGGAAAAUAAAGAUCGUCUGAAUUACAUGCCGAAGAUCAAUAAUUACGAAUUUGACUAUAGAUUUCUGAGCAAAGGUGUUGUGAAUGAAUUGAUUAAUUUAAUGAGACCAUAUUUGAGUGUAACGUCAAAAAGGUAAGAUAAAUUUUAACCAUAAAAGUACUCGUUAUUACAACUUAUAUUUGUUUAUAGCAAUAGCAAAAUUAUACCUAAUUUUUGUUGUGUUACAAAAUCACACUCAAUAGGAAUUCUAUAAUACUGCUGGAUUCCCAUGGUGCCCUAAAUGACAUUCAUAUACUAAUACUAUAACCUGGUAGGCUAUUUACCUUCAUUCUUAUUACACACUGAUACCUCUACAUUUUAUAUUUGUGUUACAGAUUCAAAUAUAGGAGAGGAAUUUAGAAAUAGAAAAAGAGUAUUUUGAAUGUGCAAUUUGUGUGCAAUGCAUCAUUGAUGUUUCAAAAUGUUGUUGCUUGAUGGCCUGGGUCUACUCAUGAUACAACUAUAAUUAACCAUUCCGAUUGAAAAGAUGCAUUGGUGUUUGUAAAAGAAGACUCCCUGUAUAUCAUUGAAAA